GUCCACACAGUAAACGAUGGAUACUAGCUAUAAUGGGAAUCGACCCCUGUUGUGGCGUAGCUAACGCGAUAAGUAUCCCGCCUGGGGAGUAUGACCGCAAGGUUGAAACUCAAAGGAAUUGACGGGGCCCGCACAAGCGGUGGAGGAUGUGGUUUAAUUCGACGCAACGCGAAGAACCUUACCAAGACUUGACAUGGUGCAAAUGUUUUAGAAAUAAGAUAGUGCUCGAAAGAGAAUGUACACACAGGUGGUGCAUGGCUGUCGU
This 265-nucleotide ribosomal RNA is filed under the name uncultured bacterium. Its description in RNAcentral is "partial 16S ribosomal RNA". It matches the Rfam family "Bacterial small subunit ribosomal RNA", at positions 793 to 1055 of the family's 1533-position model. The record is from RNAcentral.